RNAcentral lists this ribosomal RNA (269 nucleotides) under uncultured bacterium. RNAcentral's name for it is "partial 16S ribosomal RNA". It matches the Rfam family "Bacterial small subunit ribosomal RNA", at positions 59 to 339 of the family's 1533-position model. The record is from RNAcentral.
AAGUUGCACGAGAAAGCUCUUCGGAGUGAGUAGAGUGGCGCACGGGUGAGUAAUGCAUAGGAACGUACCCUUAGGUUUGGAAUAACGACGGGAAACUGUCGCUAAUACCGUAUAGACUCGAGAGAGUAAAGGUGGCGCAAGCUACCGCCCAAGGAGCGGCCUAUGUCCCAUUAGCUAGUUGGCAGGGUAAUGGCCUACCAAGGCUACGAUGGGUAGCUGGUCUGAGAGGAUGAUCAGCCACACUGGAACUGAGACACGGUCCAGACUCC